GAUGAACGCUGGCGGCGUGCCUAACACAUUCAAGUCGAACGGUGACGGGACUUCGGUCCCCGAUCAGUGGCGGACGGGUGAGUAACGCGUGAGCAACCUGCCUUUGCUUGGGGGAUAACAACUGGAAACGGUUGCUAAUACCGCAUAAUGUAGCGAUUUCGCAUGUUAUUGCUACCAAAGAUUUAUUGAGCAAAGAUGGGCUCGCGUCUGAUUAGAUAGUUGGUGAGGUAACGGCUCACCAAGACUACGAUCAGUAGCCGGACUGAGAGGUUGAACGGCCACAUUGGGACUGAGAUACGGCCCAGACUCCUACGGGAGGCAGCAGUGGGGAAUAUUGGGCAAUGGGGGCAACCCUGACCCAGCAACGCCGCGUGAAGGAAGAAGGGCUUUCGGGUUGGUAAACUUCUUUUAGUCAGGGACGAAGAACGUGACGGUACCUGGAGAAAAAGACAACGGCUAACUACGUG
This 467-nucleotide ribosomal RNA is filed under the name uncultured bacterium. Its description in RNAcentral is "bacterial SSU rRNA". It matches the Rfam family "Bacterial small subunit ribosomal RNA", at positions 28 to 507 of the family's 1533-position model. The record is from RNAcentral.